This 253-nucleotide ribosomal RNA is filed under the name uncultured bacterium. RNAcentral's name for it is "partial 16S ribosomal RNA". It matches the Rfam family "Bacterial small subunit ribosomal RNA", at positions 524 to 776 of the family's 1533-position model. The record is from RNAcentral.
GACGGAGGGCGCUAGCGUUGUUCGGAAUCACUGGGCGUAAAGGGCGCGUAGGCGGCCAUGUAAGUCGGGGGUGAAAGCCCGGGGCUCAACCCCGGAACGGCCUUCGAGACUGCGUGGCUGGAGACCGGAAGAGGAGGGUGGAAUACCCAGUGUAGAGGUGAAAUUCGUAGAUAUUGGGUGGAACACCAGUGGCGAGAGCGGCUCUCUGGUCUGGUUCUGACGCUGGGGCGGGAAAGCGUGGGGAGGAAACAGG